Molecule: ribosomal RNA, 45 nt
Filed under: Fusarium oxysporum
Lineage: Eukaryota; Fungi; Ascomycota; Sordariomycetes; Hypocreales; Nectriaceae
Description: partial 28S ribosomal RNA
Source: RNAcentral
UGACCUCGGAUCAGGUAGGAAUACCCGCUGAACUUAAGCAUACAA